RNAcentral lists this ribosomal RNA (253 nucleotides) under uncultured bacterium. RNAcentral describes it as "partial 16S ribosomal RNA". It matches the Rfam family "Bacterial small subunit ribosomal RNA", at positions 524 to 776 of the family's 1533-position model. The record is from RNAcentral.
UACGAAGGUGGCAAGCGUUGUUCGGAUUUACUGGGCGUACAGGGAGCGUAGGCGGUUGGAUAAGCCCUCCGUGAAAUCUCCAGGCUUAACCUGGAAAGUGCAGAGGGGACUGUUCAGCUAGAGGAUGGGAGAGGAGCGCGGAAUUCCCGGUGUAGCGGUGAAAUGCGUAGAGAUCGGGAGGAACACCUGUGGCGAAGGCGGCCGACUGGGCCGACCCUGACGCUGAGGCGCGAAGGCGUGGGGAGCGAACGGG